UCUAGAUAGAAUGAUAGAUCUAUUGUUAGUUCUUUGAGAAAUCAAGAUUCUUCUUGGUUCUUAUGUUGAGAGCCUAUUGGUCAGUGCUGAGGUUGUGGAGUUGAAGGCAGCCUAAAUUCUCCUUGGUAGACCUCUUCUCUAGCUCCUGCUUAGUUCUGAAGCACAAUGCAUAGAGGGCCAGUGUGGAAGGCAUUCUAUCUUUAGUUUCAGAGUGAAAAUCUCCUAUUAAUCUUGACCGCACAUCUGCUUCUUGGCUACGAAUCCAUUUCUUCUCAUACAUUCACUAUGGUCCUUUCAGGGAAUUGAAAUUCAAUUUAGUGAAGGAAGCUUUGAUCUAGUGUUCCCGUGAUUGGAGAGAAAUAGGAGAAAAAUCUCUGUUCAAGACCAGGUAUAUAACAGCUUUGCAACUUGGUUGGCAGAAAAGGGUGAAUCAGGAUAAAUGUACAUGUUUGAAAAUAACAGCUCUCAGAGAACAACAGCAAUAGUAAUAGCCGACCCAGCGAAUGUGAUGUCCAGAUCCAUUUGGCCACUCUGUCGCCCCCUCCCUGCAGCCUUAGCCACUUUCCCCAGGAAGCUCCCUGGGGCUGGGUCUUACUGAGCAGACAUGUAAGGGCCCUGGCUUCUCAGAGAAGCAUGGUCACAGUACUCAGAAGGACCAAGAAGUAGGGCUCUGUGAGGUGAACUAUGACCAUUAGAAAUGGGAGAUGCAAAGGAGGCAGGAGAUAUACUGCCGUCUUUUCCUUCCUAAGGGAUUGUUCUUAGAUGCAGUAGUUCUGUGUGGCCUCUCUGGAGAGGACUUGUGGAAUGAACAACCAGCAGAGUUUUCUUGUGAAGCUGUGGCCAUCCCAUUAUCACGUGAUUUUGGACCUUUCUCUCCCUCCUUGUUUCCCUUCCUUUCCACCUCAUUCUUGUUUCCUGGGAUUUCACCUACCUCCUUCCCCUUAUUAAGGGUUAUCACAUGAGCUCUGCCUCAGUUUUCCAGGGAACCUAGGCUAAGGAAGUAAGAAUACUGAGUUUUGCUAAGUGCCAGGCAUCCUUCUUAGUGUGAUAUGGGUAUUAAAUCAUUUAUUCUCCAUAGUAACACCACGAAGUAGGUAGUAUUAUUAUCUCCACCUUACAGAUGAAGAAAGUGAAACCCAGACAAUGUAGAUGACUUGCCCGAGGUCACUAUGCUAGGAAGUCUUAGACCCAAAAGCCAGAUCAGAUAUUCUGGCUCCUGAAUCUGUGCUCCUGCCUCCUGAAGAAUGGCCAUUGUCAGAGCAUUCGCUAAAAUUUCCACGUUUCCAGCACCAUGUGGACUGGCAGCUGAGAGAACUUUGCUAAUGAAUAAAGGAGAAGGGUUACUCCUUUGUGAAAUGAGACUCUUAACACCCUCUGCCAUAAAAGACCACCAUUUGUUGAGUAUCCAUUGUUGCAGAAUGGAUUCUGAAAAUGAAUCUAUUCAUAGAUUUUUUUUUUGUUUUUAUAGUUUGAUUGUUGACUGUCAGUUCUGACUGUUGACGAAGGCUCCCAGAGAGCAUGGGCCUUUCUCUUUCCUAUCUUAAACACACAACAUUACACCAGAUGUUGAUAAGCUCUAUGAUCUACUAAUGUUCUAGCUCAAAACAUCAAGAAGAAGCUUGUGGCUGGGUGUGUGGCCUUGAGUGAAAUCUGGGGAGAAAGGUGAACCAGGAGAGAAAAUAUUCUACCAGCUAGCCUGCUAGAAAUGCAAGCCUUCCUCACAUGGGUCUAUGAACACCUAAUAUCCUAUUCCCAUAAGGAUCCACAGGCACACUGGAAGUCCAUGAAGAGCCUAAAAUCUAUAAAAAUGUGAGUAGGUCAGUAUCUGCACUUCCUUUUCAGUCAGGGGAAGACAUAUAGAUUACAUCAGAUUCUUGAAACUGUUACUAUUAUGGAUAGAAAACUAAAACUUGAGGCCUGGCAUUAUUUUUUUCUGGUGGCCUUGUGUAAGUCAUUUAACAAACAGGAUCUCAGUUUCCUCAUAUGGAAAUAGAACAUGGUACUUCCCAAUGGCCAAGGUUGUUGUGAAGAUCAGAUGAGAUGCAAAAUGCCAGUAGAGGAAUGGUGUAAUCUCUAAAGUAUCUUACCAAUGUGGGCUAGAUGAUCAUUGUCAUUCCCCAUCCUCCGAGCCUGAGACCAUAAGAUACAGAAGGAAGACUCUGACAGUGACUAAGUACAUAUGUCUUAGGUUUGGUUCAUCCAGAUGUUGAUCUUGGGAAGAGGAUUUGAAGGUGAGUAGUUUAUUUGGGGUGUGAUGUCAGGAUGAAUUGGUAGAGGAGUGUUUGGGUGAGAGGGGAAGGAAGGAAGGAAGCCUAUCAGCAUGUGAUCAUAAGCAGGUUGCUUCUGUGAGCAACUAGGACUCAGUCCCAGAGUAUAAAAAAUGCCUUCCAGUUGUCUGACUUGAGGGCCAAGCAUGCUCCUGCAGCCAGAGAAGCUUUCAGGCAAAGAGUCACAGGUGCUUGCACUAGGAGGCCAUCUGCAUGUACUAGGGUGGCAAGUGCCAAGAGGAAGCAUGGGUGGGACAUUGACAGCCAACCGUGUCUGCUACAGUGAAUUGUAAGCUAGAUACGGUCAUGUGCAUUAUCUAUAUUAACUUCUAAGUCAGUGGUUCCCAAACAUAGCUUCUCACCAGAAUUACCAGGGAAGUGUAAAAAAUGUCAGACUUUGAGACCCAUAUUUGGGAAAUUUUAAAUUCAGAAUGUCUAGGGCAAGGUCUAAGAAUUGACUUUUUUUUUUUUUUUUCAAAGGCUCUAUAGGUAAUGCUGAUUACCAGUCAGUUUGGGGGAAACAUGAUACUUAAACCAUUCAAUGCAGGCAUUUUAAGGAAAUCGAUCUUGGUGUGUUCAGUAUUUUAUACAAAGUUACAUCUAUAUUGGGGUGGAAGUAAGGUUCCAACCCAGUGCUCAUCUCUUUACUUCAAGGUCACACUGCCUCUUCAGGGACCUGUUUCUCUUGCAGAGGCCAGGACCACAUCUCUUAAACCCCAAGGGAAAGGGUGGGAUGCCUGCAUUAUGAAGUGUGGAGCCCUGAGCCUGCUCCUGCCAGUCAUAUGGACUGCCUACUAAUAGAAGGAGUCUUCUCAGCGGACUUUCAACACACUUCUUUUCCACCUUGUUCUCUGCAGUGGCCAGAUUCUUACCAUGCCAUGCCUGGAUCAUUGAAACUUCCUCCUCACCCACCUCCCUGCCUCAGUCCUCACUUCCUCUAGUCCCAUGUCUCACUGCAACACACCCUGCAUCACCACCCUCUUUCUCAGAUGGACAGGGCUCCCCACUCCUGAUCUGUAAAAUGGAGUCGAAAGCUCUUGGCAGGGUAUAAAGUCCUGCAUGACCCAGUUUCAUUCUGUCUUGUAUCUCUUGUAGGAUGUAUUAGUCAGCCUACAGGGAGGAGAACAGGAACCUCUCUAUGUAUUUGAACAGCGAAAAUAUGGAACCAAUUAGCCUGGUAUUGCAGGACUGAAAAUAUGAAAAGGUGACACCAAGGUAUACAAAGGUUUAACCACAGAAGGAGCUAUUGAUCCUAAAGCUGGAGGGUCAAAAAGCAGAGAUUGGAAUUAUUAGAACCUAGAAACUUAGAGAGCUGUGGAGAUAUGGCUGAGAUUUCUGAGGAGGGAGAAGUACUAGACAGCUGCUAGUAACUCAGGGCUCAGAGGAGGGUUCUCUCAGGGGAGGUUCUCAUACCUCUAAGGAGAAGAGGGGUUACUCAACUUCUGCUGGGAUUCAGAAGUUUGGAGAAAGCCCCUUGUGGAACUGGGCUUAGACCUCUAAUGAGAGGGAGCCCCCCUGCCAUGGCUUGCACUUGUAUGAGAGGUCCCGUAAGGCUGGGAGUCCAUGAUCCUAGAGGUUGGGACACUUGCAGCUGCCAGGAUGAAGAGCCAUUACUGGGGCAAUGCUGAUGGGAAGCACAGCCAGCAGGUAGGGGCUCCCUCUCUAGAGCCAGCUCCUUGUGGGUCCUAACAGGCAGCCAGCUCCAAAGGAGGCCCCAGCCCUAGCACCACACAGCUGGGUAGAGAAGGGCGAGGAGGAGCUGAGGGGACAACACCUUAAUAACUGGCACAACACCUGCAGUGUUAGAGUCACCAAAGAUGCUUGGCCCUUAUGCAUCUCAACUCUUUGGCGAAGGCUAUCCUCUCUCUUUGGAAUUUUCUUCCCAUCCAAAGGUUGUUUGGCUCCCGUCAGCACUCAAAUGUCUCCUCCUGUGAAGCCUUCCACGUCUGCCCCUAUUUCUAAAUCCCCAAGCCAGAAAAACACCCUUUUCAUAUCCAGUUUCCCCUGGCAUUCAUGAAAUGAUCACAUUUUAUAAUAAUUACUUGCUUCAGGUCUGUAUCUUCUAUUUGACCAUGAACUUGUCAAGGGAAAGAUGUUGCUUUAUUUAUCUUGAUGUCUUCAAUAGUUCAAUAAGUGUGUAUCAAACAGCAAAAGCCCAGAUGUCUGAAUGAAGCCAGAAUGCAGGGGGCAGGUGCAGAUUGCCUGCCUGCAGAGCACAAAGCCCAGAGGAGUCCACAGCUCCAGGAGAGGUUGGUGGGAGGCUGCCCUCCCUCCCUUUCAAUCAUAGUAGAAAACCAGGGAAACAAAAACAUAAAACAAACAUUGUUUCUGGGAAUGUUUUAGAAUGUAGAAAUAGCAUUAGAUUUCUAACUUCACAUACUUUUGGCCAAAGGAAAGUCGAGAAUUGGACUCAAACGUCUCCUGUGUGUGAAGCCUUCCAGGGACCAUUCAGCACAACUCACUUCCCUAUUUCUCCCACUUCUCCACCCUUCUCUUAUUUCUGCAGAACCUUGGCUGCUUACCCAUAGCAAUUACUUCCUGCUGAGGUCUUCAGUAAUAUUGGUUUGAGGUUCUGAAGUGUAUUUUGAUGGGAAUUCCCAAUGGCUGGCAGUCCUUCUAGAAUCUGAGGUCUCAUAUGGGCUCACGUGCUCUGCUUGAGCUCCUCUUUCCUGUGUCACCAUCUAAAAAGUAUCCUUGGUCAGAAAGCUUAAUACCUCCUCUGAAGACUGAUAAUAUACAUCAUCUUCCUGGACCAGUCUACAAGUGAGGGACAGUGAAUAUUUUGAAUGGCAGCUUUUAGAUAACAAAUCCUCAAAGAGAGAUAGAGUCUUACUCAUCUCUAACAUGUGCUUGACUGUGGAAGACUGCCAAUUAAUAAUGAUUGAGUGAUUUG
Molecule: long non-coding RNA, 5160 nt
Filed under: Homo sapiens (human)
Lineage: Eukaryota; Metazoa; Chordata; Mammalia; Primates; Hominidae
Description: HSALNT0365850
Source: RNAcentral